Molecule: non-coding RNA, 403 nt
Filed under: Brevibacillus borstelensis AK1
Lineage: Bacteria; Bacillati; Bacillota; Bacilli; Caryophanales; Paenibacillaceae
Description: Bacterial small subunit ribosomal RNA
Rfam family: Bacterial small subunit ribosomal RNA
Source: Rfam by way of RNAcentral
UUAUUGGAGAGUUUGAUCCUGGCUCAGGACGAACGCUGGCGGCGUGCCUAAUACAUGCAAGUCGAGCGAGUCCCUUCGGGGGCUAGCGGCGGACGGGUGAGUAACACGUAGGCAACCUGCCCGUAAGCUCGGGAUAACAUGGGGAAACUCAUGCUAAUACCGGAUAGGGUCUUCUCUCGCAUGAGAGGAGACGGAAAGGUGGCGCAAGCUACCACUUACGGAUGGGCCUGCGGCGCAUUAGCUAGUUGGUGGGGUAACGGCCUACCAAGGCGACGAUGCGUAGCCGACCUGAGAGGGUGACCGGCCACACUGGGACUGAGACACGGCCCAGACUCCUACGGGAGGCAGCAGUAGGGAAUUUUCCACAAUGGACGAAAGUCUGAUGGAGCAACGCCGCGUGAAC